RNA transcript from Benincasa hispida (wax gourd), 1182 nucleotides. It is a transcript of the gene named nicotinamidase 1-like, with no coding region annotated. The record is from RefSeq and is a predicted model, not a curated record. Lineage: Eukaryota; Viridiplantae; Streptophyta; Magnoliopsida; Cucurbitales; Cucurbitaceae.
AACAAUAAUUGAACGGUGAACUCUCUUUCUCAUCUCUUCGGUUGCCUCUACAUCUUCUCUCCGAUUUCUUAAAAGAAAAAAAGAAAUGGUAUCGAGCGCCAUUGAUCUUUUGAAGAACGAGAUUCCGCUGGAGCAGGAAUCUGUGGUUUUGUCUGAAGAUGCUGUGAACGGUCUUGUUCUCGUUGAUCUUAUCAAUGGCUUCUGUACUGUGGGCGCUGGAAAUCUGGCACCAAGAGAGCCAAACAAACAGAUAUCUCAAAUGAUAGAAGAAUCAACAAGAAUUGCACGGCUUUUCUGUGAGAAGAAAUGGCCUGUGAUGGCAUUUCUUGAUUCUCACCAACCAAACAAACCUGAACAACCAUAUCCUCCUCACUGUAUUCUUGGUUCUGAUGAAUCUAACUUGGUUCCAGGUCUGCAAUGGCUGGAGAAUGAGGCGAACGUGACAAUGAGGCGAAAGGAUUGCUUCGAUGGGUAUAUGGGUUCCUUCCUCCCUGACGGCUCCAACCUUUUCGUCGAUUGGAUCAGACAUAAUCACAUCAAAUCUCUACUUAAUGUCAAAACAAGAAGAGGAAAGAAAAUUCAAGGAGUAGCAAGAGCGAGAGCUGAGUAUCAACAAGCAUGCACAAUAGGGCUUUUUGCUUUUGGUGGUUGGAAUAUGUACGGACAUCUGCGUGUUGGAUUUUGUGUGCUCAACUAUGUCUGCAAAGAAUUUAGGGUUUCUUCAUCCUUUAAACGACGUCGUUUUAUACUCUCACGCCUGUGCUACCUUUGAUGUCCCUCUCCAUGUUGCUAGAAACACCAAAGGGGCUCUCCCUCAUCCUCAGGAGUUCAUGCAUCAUGUAGGCUUGUACAUGGCAAAGGAAAGGGGAGCCAUCAUAGCCAACAAAAUAUCACUAGGAACCACCAAAGAAGCCAACAUAUAAACCCACUAUGCUUAAACAGUAGUGUACCCUCUUUAAUGGCAAACAUUAAAGAAAUGUAAUCAAAUAAAUAAAUGGAAACAUAUGAUCUAGUACGUUGUUUGAACUCGUGAUGAGUACUUAGAAUUAAUUGAACUCCCAUCAAAAGAAGAUGAUAGAUAGUCUUCUUCGUGAAUGAUAUCUAUAAAUGAUAUCUAUGUCGUUUAUAUUGUAUCAUCGUACAAAUCAAAGAAUAAAAAUAUUAUUUUUACCUUUUAAGACA